GACGAACGCUGGCGGCGUGCUUGACACAUGCAAGUCGAACGGAAAGGCCUGCUUUCCCUUGUGGAUUGCGGGUACUCGAGUGGCGAACGGGUGAGUAACACGUGAGUGAUCUGCCCCCAACUUGGGUAUAAGCCUGGGAAACUGGGUCUAAUUCCCGAUAGGACUGCAGGGUGGUGCCUGUGGUGGAAAACGAUUUUCUAGUGGUUGGGGAUGAGCUCGCGGCCUAUCAGCUUGUUGGUGGGGUAAUGGCCUACCAAGGCGGCGACGGGUAGCCGGCCUGGGGGGGUGGACCGCGCCAUUGGGACUGAGAUACGGCCCAGACUCCUACGGGAGGCAGCAGUGGGGAAUAUUGCACAAUGGGCGGAAGCCUGAUGCAGCGACGCCGCGUGGGGGAUGACGGCCUUCGGGUUGUAAACUCCUUUCGACCGCGAGGAAGCCACCUGGUUGGAAGGGUGGUGACGGUAGUGGUAGAAGAAGCACCGGCUAACUACGUG
RNAcentral lists this ribosomal RNA (494 nucleotides) under uncultured bacterium. Its description in RNAcentral is "partial 16S ribosomal RNA". It matches the Rfam family "Bacterial small subunit ribosomal RNA", at positions 28 to 507 of the family's 1533-position model. The record is from RNAcentral.